RNAcentral lists this ribosomal RNA (223 nucleotides) under Klebsiella pneumoniae. Its description in RNAcentral is "partial 23S ribosomal RNA". It matches the Rfam family "Bacterial large subunit ribosomal RNA", at positions 1148 to 1370 of the family's 2925-position model. The record is from RNAcentral. RNAcentral also lists the same sequence under 4 other names. Lineage: Bacteria; Pseudomonadati; Pseudomonadota; Gammaproteobacteria; Enterobacterales; Enterobacteriaceae.
GUCGAGUCGGCCUGCGCGGAAGAUGUAACGGGGCUAAACCAUGCACCGAAGCUGCGGCAGCGACACUAUGUGUUGUUGGGUAGGGGAGCGUUCUGUAAGCCUGCGAAGGUGACCUGUGAGGGUUGCUGGAGGUAUCAGAAGUGCGAAUGCUGACAUAAGUAACGAUAAAGCGGGUGAAAAGCCCGCUCGCCGGAAGACCAAGGGUUCCUGUCCAACGUUAAUC